CCAAUAAUAGAUUGAAAAUGCAUCAAACAGAUCUUUUGUUAUUUUUCUAUUAUAAUAUCGGUCUGUUAUUUUUCCAUCGUUAUCUUUCGGGUUUCUCCCGAUCAUUUUGCAAAACCUCUUAGAAAACAAACAUCCCUUAUACGCACCAACUAGAGAAAAUUACCAUUCAGAAUAGACGUUACACUUGAUACAUUUUCGGAGCGAUAUUUGUCGUAAAAAAGUUGUUCGCGAAGAGAGAGGAAAAAGCACGCGUGGUGAAAUCAAUAGAUCUCUCCGAAUCUAAAAAAAAAAGAUUGUAAAAAACGCACGCGCGCACGCACAAAACGACGAAAACGUAACAAUAAUUAUUAUAAUCGCCGGACGGUGAAAAUGAAAUAUCGUUUUUCCGCGCGAGCGUUGCGUACGUGCGUGUGCGCGUCAAGCCGCCAGACGGUUACGGCCGCGUUGCCACGGGUUACCGCACGCUAACCGCGGGUACACAAAAUAAUAAUCGC
Cinara cedri is the source of this 494-nucleotide non-coding RNA. Lineage: Eukaryota; Metazoa; Arthropoda; Insecta; Hemiptera; Aphididae. The record is from the annotation of a GenBank genome assembly.